GAUGAACGCUAGCGGCAGGCCUAAUACAUGCAAGUCGAACGAUAUUUUCCAGCUUGCUGGGAGAGAAAGUGGCGCACGGGUGCGUAACGCGUAUGCAACCUACCUUUAUCAGGGGGAUAGCCCGGAGAAAUCCGGAUUAAUACCGCAUAAAAUCACAGAACGGCAUUGUUCAAUGAUCAAACAUUUAUGGGAUAAAGAUGGGCAUGCGUGUCAUUAGCUAGUUGGCGGGGUAACGGCCCACAAAGGCGACGAUGACUAGGGGAUCUGAGAGGAGGGCCCCCCACACUGGUACUGAGACACGGACCAGACUCCUACGGGAGGCAGCAGUAAGGAAUAUUGGUCAAUGGAGGCAACUCUGAACCAGCCAUGCCGCGUGCAGGAAGACUGCCCUAUGGGUUGUAAGCUGCUUUUAUCCGGGAAUAAACCUCCGAUCGUGAUCGGAGCUGAAUGUACCGGAAGAAUAAGGAUCGGCUAACUCCGUGCCAGCCGCCGCGGUAA
This 498-nucleotide ribosomal RNA is filed under the name uncultured bacterium. Its description in RNAcentral is "partial 16S ribosomal RNA". It matches the Rfam family "Bacterial small subunit ribosomal RNA", at positions 28 to 523 of the family's 1533-position model. The record is from RNAcentral.